RNAcentral lists this ribosomal RNA (497 nucleotides) under uncultured bacterium. Its description in RNAcentral is "partial 16S ribosomal RNA". It matches the Rfam family "Bacterial small subunit ribosomal RNA", at positions 28 to 507 of the family's 1533-position model. The record is from RNAcentral.
GACGAACGCUGGCGGCGUGCCUAAUACAUGCAAGUUGAGCGCUGAAGGUUGGUACUUGUACCAACUGGAUGAGCAGCAAACGGGUGAGUAACGCGUGGGGAAUCUGCCUUUGAGCGGGGGACAACAUUUGGAAACGAAUGCUAAUACCGCAUAAAAACUUUAAACACAAGUUUUAAGUUUGAAAGAUGCAAUUGCAUCACUCAAAGAUGAUCCCGCGUUGUAUUAGCUAGUUGGUGAGGUAAAGGCUCACCAAGGCGAUGAUACAUAGCCGACCUGAGAGGGUGAUCGGCCACAUUGGGACUGAGACACGGCCCAAACUCCUACGGGAGGCAGCAGUAGGGAAGCUUCGGCAAUGGACGAAAGUCUGACCGAGCAACGCCGCGUGAGUGAAGAAGGUUUUCGGAUCGUAAAACUCUGUUGGUAGAGAAGAACGUUGGUGAGAGUGGAAAGCUCAUCAAGUGACGGUAACUACCCAGAAAGGGACGGCUAACUACGUG